UACGGAGGGGGCUAGCGUUGUUCGGAAUUACUGGGCGUAAAGCGCGCGCGGGCGGCAUGGCAAGUCAGUGGUGAAAGGCCUGGGCUCAACCUGGGAAUUGCCUUUGAUACUGCCAUGCUUGAGUAAGGGAGAGGGUGGUGGAAUUCCCAGUGUAGAGGUGAAAUUCGUAGAUAUUGGGAAGAACACCGGUUGCGAAGGCGGCCACCUGGCCCUUCACUGACGCUGAGGCGCGAAAGCGUGGGGAGCAAACAGGAUUAGAAA
RNAcentral lists this ribosomal RNA (261 nucleotides) under uncultured bacterium. Its description in RNAcentral is "partial 16S ribosomal RNA". It matches the Rfam family "Bacterial small subunit ribosomal RNA", at positions 524 to 784 of the family's 1533-position model. The record is from RNAcentral.